AAAGGUCAGCGUUGUAAUUUCCGAACAUCAUCUUCGUCAACUGAAACCAACUUCCCCAGCUCAGGUCAUCAUCAUUCCAAACUUUUCUACUAAUUUUUCUGUCUAGCCCCCACAAUUGAUCUCAGAAUCUUUUUAUUAAUGCUCCCAUUCAAUGCCAGUUCAUUUACUUCUCAGAAACUUCCAAAAAUACUCGACCGCUGGAAAGAUUUUCCCCCACCAUUCCUCCUGGAUCAGCAACAUAGCUUUUACCUGCAGCAGUCUGAUUAUCAUCUCAUGAAGACCCCCAGAACCAUGCAACAAGUUCACCAAUCUCCCAAUCUCUCCAACCCCUUUGAAAAUCUUACUGAAGAAAUCAUAUUUAACGUUCUUGAUUUCCUCGAUGAGGACCCACAAGCCAAGAAAUCGUUCUCUCUUGUUAACAAAUCAUUCUACUCUAUUGAAUCCAUUCACAGAAGAUCUCUAAGACCUCUACGAACUAAUCUCAUUCCAAGUACACUCCGAAGAUAUCCUCAUCUAUCUCACCUUGACUUCACAUGCUGUCCUCGUGUCGAGGAUGAUACUCUUUUUGCUAUAGCUGAUGUAUAUAAGACUAGUUUGAGGGCCAUUGACCUUUCGAGGUCUAGGUUCUUUAGUAACGUUGGGUUGUCGAGUUUGGCUGGGAAAUGUACAGGUUUGUUGGAGAUGGAUUUGUCCAAUGCAACAGAGCUAACAGACUUGGCUGCUGCAGCUAUUGCUGAAGCUAAGAACCUGGAGAAGCUAUCAUUGGCUAGGUGCAAGUUAAUUUCAGAUAUCGGGAUUGGCUGUAUUGCUGUUGGUUGCAAAAAAUUGAAGUGGGUUUGCUUGAAAUGGUGCUUAAGAGUUAGUGAUUUCGGUGUUGGCUUGAUUGCUAUGAAGUGCAGAGAUAUUCGCUCUCUGGAUCUCUCUUACUUGCCUAUAACAGAAAAGUGCCUUCCACCCAUCCUGCAGCUUCAACAACUCAAGGAAUUAAUUCUUGUCGGAUGUUCUGGUGUUGAUGAUGAGGGUCUUGUCACCCUGAAUCAAGGAUACAAACCACUAGAGAUGCUUAAUAUGUCAAUCAUUCAAAAUGUCAGCCACAUUGGUCUAUAUUCUCUAACAAAUGGCAUGAAACACCUAAGCCAUCUCAGUCUAGCAUAUGGUUUUGAUGUUACAGUAGAUCUAGCAAAAUGCCUGCGCAAUUUUCCGGGCCUGCAGUGCAUUAAAUUAGAUGGCUGCCAAGUCUCAUGUGCUGGGAUGAAAGCAAUUGCAGAUUGUUGUGUAUCCUUAAAGGAGAUAAACUUAUGCAAGUGCAUAGGAGUGACAGAUGAGGGUCUCUCCUCCAUUAUGGAGAAGCACAAUGGAUUGAAAAAAUUGGACAUAACUUGUUGUAGAAAAAUAACUCAUGCCUCUUUAGACAUUAUAACAAGUUCAUGUAACUCCCUUAUUUCCCUCAAAAUGGAAUCUUGUAGCUUGAUUCCUGAAGAUGCUUUUGAAUUGAUUGGGCAACGUUGCUCUUUGCUGGAGGAGCUGGAUAUUACUGAUAAUGAAGUCAAUGAUGAAGGGUUGAAAGCAAUCUCAAGAUGUUCCAAACUUUUGAGCUUAAAAAUGGGAAUAUGCAGGAAAAUCACUGAUGGCGGACUUUCUCAUGUUGGAAUUUACUGUCCAAAACUGACACAACUUGAUUUGUACAGGUGCACAGCAGUUACCGAUGUAGGCAUUAUGGCAGUUGCAAAUGGUUGCCUUGGUUUGGAGAUGAUUAACAUGGCUUACUGUGAGAAAGUUACUGACAGUUCAUUGCGAUGUUUAUCAAAAUGUUUAAGAUUGACAGCGCUUGAAAUUCGAGGAUGUACUCGUCUAUCUUCAGGAGGAUUAUCAGCCAUUGCUGAAGGAUGUAGGAAACUGACCCUUCUUGACAUUAAGAAAUGCUGUAACAUUGAUGAUGCUGGAAUGCUUGCUCUUGCACAAUGUUCCCAAAGUCUCCAGCAGAUUAAUAUAUCAUAUUGUUCAGUUACAGAUAUUGGGCUAAUGGCACUGGCCAGCAUUAACCACUUGCACAGCAUGACUAUCUUGCAUGUAACUGGACUGACUGCCAGUGGGCUUGGUGCUGCUCUGUUAGCUUGUCAGGGACUGAGAAAAGUGAAGCUUCACUCAACCUUUAAAGCAUCAAUGCCUCAGGCUCUCCUGAAUCACGUAGAAGCUCGUGGCUGCAUCUUUCACUGGAGAAAUAAAGCAUUUCAGCAGGUGGAUAUAGAUCCGAAGGGAUGGCAGCUAUGAUUAUCAGUGAAGAAUUCAACAUUUUGCAUCGUGAAACGUUAAAUUGUUGCCGCUGAUAAGAUUGCAGCUGAAUCAAGGAGUCAAAACAAGAACAUUUUAUUCUGGUGAUGUGUUCAUUUACCUGAAUGUGCCGUGCCAGUGAUUGAUUGGCCAUAGAGCUUGUUUGCUGUCCAGGUUCCAAAAUGGGGAAAACACAAGAGUAUGUUCUGCAUCAGACUUGCAUCAUUUGAGUUGCUGCGAUGGGUCCAGUUCCAGAAAGAUGAUUUCAUACUACCAUCCAUAUUCUUGUUGCUACUGAUUCAGAUUAGUCGUUACUCUCUUGAGUCUUGAGCAAUUUAAUGCGGUGUCGAGAUUGAGUAACUUCUUGAUUUGAAAAUAGAACGUCCCUAUAGGCUUUGCCUAUAAUUCUAUAAUUUGACCUUAUUCAAUCUGCUCAAACAUUUGACCAUGACCAUAUUCUUUUUCUCCUCUCAGAAUAUCCUAGACCGAACGAGUGGAAGCAGAACUAUGGCAAAGAGUACUACCCAAAAGUCAAAUAUGUUCGGACUUUACUCGCACAUAAAUGCAUGCAUCUUGGUACCAUCUCACCAGAUUCAUGUAUAAUAAACCUGGAAGCCUUGUUGUGCCUGUGAGGGGCAGGAGUCUAGUCCGCCCGCGGAAGUGACUCCAAUAAAGAAUUGAUGAAUGGGGUUCAAAAAUAGACUUUGAUCGAUUUCCUUUGUUGAAAGGUAAACCUUAUCAAUUUCAGAUUGAAAAUUAUACUAACGUUAUCAUCUUCUCGAAGUAGCGGGAGGAGACUGCUGACUUACUUUUUCCAAAAGUCAGCUGGAAAUUUGUUUAUGUUCAGAUCUUGCGAAAAAUGAAAUUUUGACUGACCACCCUUUUAAAUUAUUCCUCUGACCACUCCAUUUGCGCCUGGAAUUUGUCAUUAAUAGUAUGUUGUUAUGUGAUUCGUUUGAUCACUAUCAAUUAGCAUCAAUCUUCCAGAAUCACAGGGGCGAUGCAUUUCAUUACCACACCCCAAGUCAAUGUUUUCAACGUCAAGCGUUUUCAUGGACACAUCAUCGUCUUCCACGAUGUGAUUCAAUGCAUGGGCAGGGUGAUCACUGAUUCAGGACAGAAGCUGCCCAGAAAAACCAAAAAAAAAAAAA
Molecule: RNA transcript, 3422 nt
Organism: Coffea arabica (coffee)
Lineage: Eukaryota; Viridiplantae; Streptophyta; Magnoliopsida; Gentianales; Rubiaceae
Gene name: F-box/LRR-repeat protein 3-like
Source: RefSeq, a predicted model, not a curated record